AGGCCACCUGCUAAUUCGGAACCCCGCGUGAAGGAUGUAUUCAUUGGCCAUGAGCGAAAGUCAGAGGUUCGAAGACGAUCAGAUACCGUCCUAGUUGUGACCAUAAACGAUGCCAACUGACGAUCCGUGGUGGUAAUUAAACCCCCACGGGCAAACUCAGGGAAACUUAACUCUAUGGGUUCCGGGGGAAGUGUGGAUGCAAAACUGAAACUUAAAGGAAUUGACGGAAGGGCACCACCCGGAGUGGAGCCUGGGCCUUAAAUUGACUCACCACGGGAAAACUCACCCGGGCCGGACACUAUGAGGAUUGACAGAUUGAAAGCUUUUUCUUGAUUUGGUGGUUGGUGGUGCAAGGCCGUUCAUAGUUGGUGGAGCGAUUUGUCUGGUAAAAUCCGAUAACGAACGAGACUCCUGCCUGGUAAUUACUCUCCGGACCCACAGGCUUGUGCAGGCUUCUUGCUUGUACACGAGGCCUUCCGGGGCGUGAUGUCGCGCCAUAACUCAUCUUUUUUCCCCGGNNNNGNNNNGG
This 529-nucleotide ribosomal RNA is filed under the name Proteocephalus sp. LV36. RNAcentral's name for it is "bacterial SSU rRNA". It matches the Rfam family "Eukaryotic small subunit ribosomal RNA", at positions 930 to 1404 of the family's 1831-position model. Lineage: Eukaryota; Metazoa; Platyhelminthes; Cestoda; Proteocephalidea; Proteocephalidae. The record is from RNAcentral.